AGGACGAACGCUGGCGGCGUGCUUAACACAUGCAAGUCGAGCGGAAAGGCCCUUCGGGGUACUCGAGCGGCGAACGGGUGAGUAACACGUGAGCAACCUGCCCUUAGCUUCGGGAUAGCUCCGGGAAACCGGAAUUAAUACCGAAUAUGACUUUGGCUGACAUCAGCAGAAGUGGAAAGUUUUUCGGCUAGGGAUGGACUCGCGGCCUAUCAGCUAGUUGGUGAGGUAACGGCCCACCAAGGCGACGGCGGGUA
RNAcentral lists this ribosomal RNA (254 nucleotides) under uncultured bacterium. RNAcentral's name for it is "partial small subunit ribosomal RNA". It matches the Rfam family "Bacterial small subunit ribosomal RNA", at positions 26 to 285 of the family's 1533-position model. The record is from RNAcentral.